UGGCUCAGGAUGAACGCCGGCGGUGUGCCUAAUACAUGCAAGUCGUACGCACUGGCCCAACUGAUUGAUGGUGCUUGCACCUGAUUGACGAUGGAUCACCAGUGAGUGGCGGACGGGUGAGUAACACGUAGGUAACCUGCCCCGGAGCGGGGGAUAACAUUUGGAAACAGAUGCUAAUACCGCAUAACAACAAAAGCCACAUGGCUUUUGUUUGAAAGAUGGCUUUGGCUAUCACUCUGGGAUGGACCUGCGGUGCAUUAGCUAGUUGGUAAGGUAACGGCUUACCAAGGCGAUGAUGCAUAGCCGAGUUGAGAGACUGAUCGGCCACAAUGGAACUGAGACACGGUCCAUACUCCUACGGGAGGCAGCAGUAGGGAAUCUUCCACAAUGGGCGCAAGCCUGAUGGAGCAACACCGCGUGAGUGAAGAAGGGUUUCGGCUCGUAAAGCUCUGUUGUUGGAGAAGAACGUGCGUGAGAGUAACUGUUCACGCAGUGACGGUAUCCAACCAGAAAGUCACGGCUAACUACGUGCCAGCAGCCGCGGUAAUACGUAGGUGGCAAGCGUUAUCCGGAUUUAUUGGGCGUAAAGCGAGCGCAGGCGGUUGCUUAGGUCUGAUGUGAAAGCCUUCGGCUUAACCGAAGAAGUGCAUCGGAAACCGGGCGACUUGAGUGCAGAAGAGGACAGUGGAACUCCAUGUGUAGCGGUGGAAUGCGUAGAUAUAUGGAAGAACACCAGUGGCGAAGGCGGCUGUCUGGUCUGCAACUGACGCUGAGGCUCGAAAGCAUGGGUAGCGAACAGGAUUAGAUACCCUGGUAGUCCAUGCCGUAAACGAUGAGUGCUAGGUGUUGGAGGGUUUCCGCCCUUCAGUGCCGGAGCUAACGCAUUAAGCACUCCGCCUGGGGAGUACGACCGCAAGGUUGAAACUCAAAGGAAUUGACGGGGGCCCGCACAAGCGGUGGAGCAUGUGGUUUAAUUCGAAGCUACGCGAAGAACCUUACCAGGUCUUGACAUCUUGCGCUAACCUUAGAGAUAAGGCGUUCCCUUCGGGGACGCAAUGACAGGUGGUGCAUGGUCGUCGUCAGCUCGUGUCGUGAGAUGUUGGGUUAAGUCCCGCAACGAGCGCAACCCUUGUUACUAGUUGCCAGCAUUAAGUUGGGCACUCUAGUGAGACUGCCGGUGACAAACCGGAGGAAGGUGGGGACGACGUCAGAUCAUCAUGCCCCUUAUGACCUGGGCUACACACGUGCUACAAUGGACGGUACAACGAGUCGCAAGCUCGCGAGAGUAAGCUAAUCUCUUAAAGCCGUUCUCAGUUCGGACUGUAGGCUGCAACUCGCCUACACGAAGUCGGAAUCGCUAGUAAUCGCGGAUCAGCAUGCCGCGGUGAAUACGUUCCCGGGCCUUGUACACACCGCCCGUCACACCAUGGGAGUUUGUAACGCCCAAAGUCGGUGGCCUAACCUUUAUGGAGGGAGCCGCC
This 1481-nucleotide ribosomal RNA is filed under the name Limosilactobacillus reuteri. Its description in RNAcentral is "Lactobacillus reuteri 16S ribosomal RNA". It matches the Rfam family "Bacterial small subunit ribosomal RNA". Lineage: Bacteria; Bacillati; Bacillota; Bacilli; Lactobacillales; Lactobacillaceae. The record is from RNAcentral.